Ornithodoros turicata is the source of this 399-nucleotide long non-coding RNA. RefSeq lists it as uncharacterized. The transcript is spliced from 2 exons. The record is from RefSeq and is a predicted model, not a curated record. Lineage: Eukaryota; Metazoa; Arthropoda; Arachnida; Ixodida; Argasidae.
AAACACAACACUAGAGUGUCAAGCAGCCCAUGUAGUCAUGAUGUCGAUACCACUGUCAGGUGUGUGCAGAUGCUGCAUGCAAAAUUGUGAGCAGGUUUCACCUUGCCGGUUCAGGAGAAAAUCCACAGAGAAGUGAAGGUCUCAAAAUUUUAUAAGGACGCACAUGUAAGUACAUGUGUAGCUAAAAUGUGUGCGCUACCACUUCCAGCACACCACACCAGAAGGGGAGGGCAAAUAUGCCAACAACCACCAUUUCUGCAAUGAUGAUGUACCGUAAUAAUAGAAAAUAUUCAAGACUGCCACCGCAAGAGACAAAACACAAGGAACCUGGCUGCAGACUUUAUCAAAGCAACAUAUUUCUGGGAUGCGAUUACUGCCAAUACAAGCCCAUGACCAUGA